UACAAGACGCUCUUCCGGUAUGAUAUGUUUGCAGCCAACAUGUACACAAAAUAAACAAAAUAAGGGCCUGAAAUUUCAACUGCAGGGCCAAGGAGUUUUUACUUUCCUCAGUAAGCAAGUCUGUUAUGAGAUUUAUCUCCAUGAAAAUAUGUACAAAGCUGUGACUUUAUUUUUAUACUGUAUUUUGCAAUGUGUAUGGGAAGGGGGGUGGAGAGAAGCUUGUCUCAAAGCGUCCUGUAUUUUUGGUACUUAAUUUUCAUCUCCCUUAUGUUCCUUCUUUCUCAGAUUGAGCAGUUGUCCUCAUCAGAAACAUCUACCAAGUGGGCAGGCAUAAUAUAGCUUUGUAAGCAGGCAGAAUUCAUGUUUCUCAUCCUCAUGAAAUUUAGCCUGGCCACACUUACUACAUUAUACAAUAUUAGAUUUUCUGGUGGAAAUAAACAAAAGAUCACCAUACUAAGCACCAAGUGUCUAGGCACAGCUUGUGGCAGGACUUCACAUAAAGCAGGGAAGCUACAGGAUUUGAGACAGCACAGUUUAUGGAUGAAGGUUAACUGACUUUUUAACUGACUUAAAAACGCAGAAAGAAAGGACCAACACAUAAAAGACAGACAUUUUGUGGGACGAGCCAUCCAGUUGAAUUCAGGCAUAAGGCAGUGGUGACUUCUCUGUCAGUUACUAUCAAUUUGACAUGUAUUAUGUAUACGAGUGGGUAGAGAAAGUGGGAGUUUGGGUUAAAAUGCUUUUUUGAGGGGUCCUUACCAAACAUUUGUCUAAGAAAGUUAGUGUCAUGGAAGACAAGGUGGUCAGCCUCAGAGACCCAGAUCUAGCACCUAUAUCAAUUGCUUUGAUACAAUUUAGCAAAGUGUGAAUUUUUUCUUUCUGGUUGAUGCUCUUUAACAUAUUUAAAAUAUCUUUAACAUCUUUCAGAAAUUGAUUUUUCUACCAAUAUUACUGAAGUUUGUAUUUCUUUUUUUUACAGAUAAGUCACCAAUAGUUGAAGGCUUAUUUCUGAAUUACACUGCAUUGAUAACAAGCAAAAUCCCAUAUGUUCUCAGAAUUUGAGUGGGAAACGGCUAUGACAGUUGAAUGAGGAGAGGAGAGGAGGGGGCUUGGAGCAGGAAAGAGCAGGUGGUCUGUUCCAAUUUGGCAGGUGUUUCGCCAGGCCCUGGGGUCCUGUCUAUGAAUCAGGCUGGACUUGCCCCUGCCAGCCACCACACUGGAAAAGUAGUUCCAGAUUUCUAUCAGCACUGACUUGGGGGGCAAUGGAAUGAUAUUACUGCAUUUUGCAAAAGCAUAUGGCCUUUUUCUUGGGUUUGCUCUGGGACCCAUCUUCUGCUGAAAUGCAUUACACAGAGCUCAUCUCUAACAAAAUCACGUUCCUAUGUGGCUAACAUUACAGAUGAAAAUCUUGAACAUCAUGUGUUUACUCAAACACAGAAUCUAGACUUCCAAAUCUGCUUCAUGUGACCAUGAAGCCUUCAUAAAUGGAGUGGAGAUUUUUAGGUGGGGCAGAGGGAGAUGACAUUUAAUAUCAAAAGCCACACGGUUGUCAUGGUUUUCAGGAGCUCAAGUGCAGCCUAUGUAUGUAAGGAACAAAAUGUCAAAUUUAGUUUCAGUUUGAGUUUCUGCCAUUGAAAAUUCAAAUUCAAGUCAAAAUAUCCCCCUCUGCACACAGGGCAG
This is a non-coding RNA of Vicugna pacos (alpaca), 1680 nucleotides long. NCBI's taxonomy places the organism in Eukaryota, Metazoa, Chordata, Mammalia, Artiodactyla, Camelidae. The record is from RefSeq and is a predicted model, not a curated record.